CCCAAAACACCUUGGUUCGCCACACCCACACGGGCACCCAGCAGUGAUAAAUAUUAAGCAAUGAGUGAAAGCCAAUCUAAGCUCGACUUAGUUAUGAUCACCAGGGCCGGUAAACCUCGUGCCAGCCACCGCGGUUAUACGAGGGGCCCAAAACAACAGAUACCGGCGUAAAUUGUGACUAGAGCACCUACUUAUGGGAAAUAAACAAAAGCCCGCCCGUAAAACCUGGGCCAAAAGAAACACACCUUCCCAAUUAUAAAGUAACUUGAACCCACGAAGACUAAGAAACAAACUAGGAUUAGAUACCCUACUAUGCUUAGUUGUUAACACGACACCAAAAAACACCGGUGUCCGCCAGAGAAUUACACGCGAAAAGCUUAAAACUCAAAGGACUUGGCGGUGCUCCGUAUUCGUCUUAGAGGAGCCUGUCCUAUAAUCGAUAACCCACGCUUUACCUUACCAUCUUUUGUUUAAAUCAGCCUAUAUACCGCCGUCGCAAACUUACCCCAUGAGGGCACAACAGUAAGUAAAAUAGUAACACACUAACACGUCAGGUCAAGGUGUAGCUAAUAAGAUGGAAGAGAUGGGCUACAUUUUCUAAAACAGAACACACGGCAAAGGACAUUGAAAUAA
This 633-nucleotide ribosomal RNA is filed under the name Liolaemus canqueli. Its description in RNAcentral is "partial 12S ribosomal RNA". It matches the Rfam family "Bacterial small subunit ribosomal RNA", at positions 330 to 1279 of the family's 1533-position model. The record is from RNAcentral. Lineage: Eukaryota; Metazoa; Chordata; Lepidosauria; Squamata.